This 321-nucleotide ribosomal RNA is filed under the name uncultured Tomentella. Its description in RNAcentral is "eukaryotic LSU rRNA". The stretch from base 266 to 321 matches the Rfam family "Eukaryotic large subunit ribosomal RNA", at positions 1 to 56 of the family's 3401-position model. The record is from RNAcentral. Lineage: Eukaryota; Fungi; Basidiomycota; Agaricomycetes; Thelephorales; Thelephoraceae.
CCCUUUGGUAUUCCGAGGGCAUGCCUGUUUGAGUAUCAUGAACACCUCAACUCUUCAUGGUUUUCCAUGAUGAGCUUGGACUUUGGGGGGUCUUGCUGGCCUGCGGUCAGCUCCUCUCAAAUGAAUCAGCUUACCAGUGUUUGGUGGGCAUCACAGGUGUGAUAACUAUCUGCGCUUGUGGUUUUCCACCAAGUAACCUUCAACAGUGGAGGUUCACUGGAGCUCACAGACGUCUCUCCUCAGUGAGGACAGCCCUUUGAAUGUUUGAUCUCAAAUCAGGUAGGACUACCCGCUGAACUUAAGCAUAUCAAUAAGCGGAGG